Molecule: long non-coding RNA, 1058 nt
Organism: Mastomys coucha (southern multimammate mouse)
Lineage: Eukaryota; Metazoa; Chordata; Mammalia; Rodentia; Muridae
Exons: 7
Source: RefSeq, a predicted model, not a curated record
GAGACACCAUGUUUAACUCCUGAACACUCAAGGAAGACCAGAUUUGUGAUCUGUCCAUAGGUCUGGCUAGUGGUGGCCGUUGUAAGGAAACCAAGACCAGGCUCCAGAUGUACGACUGGAUGCACAAGCGAUGAUCCAGCUUUCAAUCUUUGUGACAAUGUUCCAAUCCUAGCCAAUUUAAAUAAUCUGCCAGUAAAAAUUCCACCAGCCGCUCACAAACACUUCACGAGUCUGAAUAUAUAGCACCAACUGGAUCUAAUCAUCACUUUCGCUUGUUGAAUCCUGUUGGGAGGAGAGGAGCGGCAUACAAUAGCAACUUCUGAGAGCAGCUUGGUUCCACACAGCGCUCAGCUGAGGAUCUUCCCCAAGGACUCUUAAUUUGCCAGCAAGCCAUGGUCUUGGCACCAAGACUCUUAAUUUGCCAGCAAGCCUUGCUCUUGGCACGUGGAAGUCUUGGUCUUAAGAAGCUGCUCCCCCCUCCCUCAUACUGGAAGUGGGCCUGCCUGCUGCUUUGGAAGAGGGACUGGAAGCCAGGCCUGGAACUUUGCUAGCCUUCUUGGGCCUUCCAUGGGUGAGGCAGGCCUCAGCUAGAGCAUUGUGCCAAGUGGUGCUGUCUCCUUAAUCUGGCUCAACUCCAGGAUCUGUCCAUGGACCUCAGCAGCAUACCAGAGGGGAGGGAAGUGACCCACAGAGCACUUGUGUGCUGAUCCAGCCUCCCUCAAGUACCCUGGCCUGCCCACCUCAUCACAGGACCACCAGAGGAGCUAUCAGAGGGUUGCUAUACACCAGCCAAUGCACCAUCCCAGCCUACAGGAACCACUCACAAAAGCCUCGAACAUCCAUGGGACCAGCAGCAGGCCCUGGAAACUACCUCUCCAGUACCAUACCUACAGCUCUGGUCACACACAUCUCUCUUAAGCCCAAUCAAAGACUCAUGGCACACAGACUUGACUUGGCCCAGCCAUCGGAUACUAUGGCCACAUGAUUUUCUGCAGCUUGGACUCUGAGAGACCCUGGAGGACCACAAGAGAGAGAAAGAGAGAGCUGACUCCCACAAG